AUUGAACGCUGGCGGCAUGCCUAACACAUGCAAGUCGAACGGCAGCAUGGUCUUGCCUGCUAGAUUCAUGGGGCGAGGCGCACGGGUGAGUAAUACAUCGGAACGUUCCCUGUAGUGUGGGAUAACUAGUCGGAAGAUUUACUAAUACCGCAUACGACCUGAAGGUGAGAGAGCGGGGCCGCUCGGCCUCUUGCUAUAGGAUAGGCCGAUGUCUGAUUAGCUAGUUGGUGGGGUAAAGGCUCACCAAGGCGACGAUCAGUAGCUGGUCUGAGAGGACGAUCAGCCACACUGGAACUGAGACACGGCCCAGACUCCUACGGGAGGCAGCAGUGGGGAAUAUUGGACAAUGGGCGAAAGCCUGAUCCAGCAAUGCCGCGUGUGUGAAGAAGGCCUUCGGGUUGUAAAGCACUUUUGUUCGGAAAGAAAGGCAGCAGGUUAAUACCUGGCUGUGAUGACGGUACCGGAAGAAUAAGCACCGGCUAACUUCGUG
RNAcentral lists this ribosomal RNA (490 nucleotides) under uncultured bacterium. RNAcentral's name for it is "partial 16S ribosomal RNA". It matches the Rfam family "Bacterial small subunit ribosomal RNA", at positions 30 to 507 of the family's 1533-position model. The record is from RNAcentral.